RNAcentral lists this transfer RNA (73 nucleotides) under Mus musculus (house mouse). It matches the Rfam family "tRNA". From Rfam's summary of the family: Transfer RNA (tRNA) molecules are approximately 80 nucleotides in length. Their secondary structure includes four short double-helical elements and three loops (D, anti-codon, and T loops). Further hydrogen bonds mediate the characteristic L-shaped molecular structure. tRNAs have two regions of fundamental functional importance: the anti-codon, which is responsible for specific mRNA codon recognition, and the 3' end, to which the tRNAs corresponding amino acid is attached (by aminoacyl-tRNA synthetases). tRNAs cope with the degeneracy of the genetic code in two manners: having more than one tRNA (with a specific anti-codon) for a particular amino acid; and 'wobble' base-pairing, i.e. permitting non-standard base-pairing at the 3rd anti-codon position. The record is from Rfam by way of RNAcentral. Lineage: Eukaryota; Metazoa; Chordata; Mammalia; Rodentia; Muridae.
GGCAGUGUGGUCCAGUAGGUAGGGUGUCUGCCUUGCAUGCACAAGGCCCUGGGUUCUGCCCCCAGUACUACAU